CGUGUAGGUGGCUUAGUAAGUCAGGUGUGAAAUCCUUCCGCUUAACGGAAGAAGUGCACUUGAAACUGCUUUGAUAGAGUACGAGAGAGGAAGGUGGAAUUCCUGGUGUAGAGGUGAAAUUCAUAGAUAUCGGGAAGAACACCGGUGGCGAAGGCGGCCUUCUGGCUCGAUACUGACGCUGAGACGCGAAAGCGUGGGGAGCAAACA
Molecule: ribosomal RNA, 207 nt
Filed under: uncultured bacterium
Lineage: Bacteria
Description: partial 16S ribosomal RNA
Rfam family: Bacterial small subunit ribosomal RNA
Source: RNAcentral